Molecule: ribosomal RNA, 349 nt
Filed under: uncultured Planctomycetota bacterium
Lineage: Bacteria; Pseudomonadati; Planctomycetota
Description: bacterial SSU rRNA
Rfam family: Bacterial small subunit ribosomal RNA
Source: RNAcentral
GGAUUAGGCAUGCAAGUCGAACGAGGAUGUAUCCUUCGGGAUAUAAGCCGAGUGGCGCAAGGGUGAGUAAUGCAUAGAUUACCUACCUCUAGGAUAAGGACAACUUUGCGAAAGUGGAGCUAAUACUUAAUAAUACAAAAGUGAAUAAUUCUUUUUUGUCAAAGGGAGGGUAGCAAUACCUUUUGCCUAGAGAGGGGUUUAUGUCCUAUCAGCUUGUUGGUGGGGUAAAGGCCUACCAAGGCAAAGACGGGUAGCCGGCCUUAGUGGGUGGUCGGCCACACUGGGACUGAGACACUGCCCAGACUUCUACGGAGGCUGCAGUCGAGAAUCAUUCGCAAUGCCCGAAAGG